RNAcentral lists this ribosomal RNA (253 nucleotides) under uncultured bacterium. RNAcentral's name for it is "partial 16S ribosomal RNA". It matches the Rfam family "Bacterial small subunit ribosomal RNA", at positions 524 to 776 of the family's 1533-position model. The record is from RNAcentral.
UACGUAGGUGGCUAGCGUUGUCCGGAUUUACUGGGCGUAAAGAGCGCGCAGGCGGUCGUUCAAGUCGAGUGUGAAAGCCCCCGGCUCAACUGGGGAGGGUCACUCGAUACUGAUCGACUUGAAGGCGGGAGAGGGAAGCGGAAUUCCCGGUGUAGCAGUGAAAUGCGUAGAUAUCGUGAGGAAGACCAGUGGCGAAGGCGGAUCUCUGGACAGUUCCUGACGCUGAGGCGCGAAGGCCAGGGGAGCAAACGGG